GACGGACGCUGGCGGCGUGCUUAACACACGCAAGUCGAACGGAAAGGCCCUGCUUUUGUGGGGUGCUCGAGUGGCGAACGGGUGAGUAACACGUGAGUAACCUGCCCUUGACUUUGGGAUAACUUCAGGAAACUGGGGCUAAUACCGGAUAGGAGCUCCUGCUGCAUGGUGGGGGUUGGAAAGUUUCGGCGGUUGGGGAUGGACUCGCGGCUUAUCAGCUUGUUGGUGGGGUAGUGGCUUACCAAGGCUUUGACGGGUAGCCGGCCUGAGAGGGUGACCGGCCACAUUGGGACUGAGAUACGGCCCAGACUCCUACGGGAGGCAGCAGUGGGGAAUAUUGCACAAUGGGCGGAAGCCUGAUGCAGCAACGCCGCGUGCGGGAUGACGGCCUUCGGGUUGUAAACCGCUUUCGCCUGUGACGAAGCGUGAGUGACGGUAAUGGGUAAAGAAGCACCGGCUAACUACGUG
Molecule: ribosomal RNA, 468 nt
Filed under: uncultured bacterium
Lineage: Bacteria
Description: partial 16S ribosomal RNA
Rfam family: Bacterial small subunit ribosomal RNA
Source: RNAcentral